UGCGAGAGCGAGAGAAGCCGGUCCGACCCAGGUCAAGGACGCCCGACGAGCGUGAUGCUGAGGUCAAGCGACGGAAGGAGACUAUCAAACGCGAGCAGCACCACGAGUCGGACCCGGAGAAGAGCGACCAGGACCUGGUUGUGGACGUGGCGGGCACCGAGGACACGUCACCGCGCCACAACGGCGAGCCGCGGCCAGCCGACCUGCGCAACGGGGCGGCGGCCGGCGGCGCCGGCUCCUCCGAUGACCGCAAACCGCCACCAGGCGAGCGGCCCCCCAGCCAGAGCAGCAGCAGCCGCUCCACGCCCAGCCUCAGCCGCAAGGAGUCGCCGACAACCCCGGUCAGCAAGUCCCUGACGCCCACCUCCGCCACCAACGGCGCCCUGAAGCCGGGCGCGCCGGCCGUCGGCUACCCGUACAUGACCCCGGGUCA
This is a long non-coding RNA of Pollicipes pollicipes, 433 nucleotides long. RefSeq lists it as uncharacterized. The transcript has 3 exons. Lineage: Eukaryota; Metazoa; Arthropoda; Thecostraca; Pollicipedomorpha; Pollicipedidae. The record is from RefSeq and is a predicted model, not a curated record.